GACGAACGCUGGCGGCGUGCUUAACACAUGCAAGUCGAACGGUAAGGCCCUUCGGGGUACACGAGUGGCGAACGGGUGAGUAACACGUGGGUGAUCUGCCCUGCACUUCGGGAUAAGCCUGGGAAACUGGGUCUAAUACCGGAUAGGACCACUGCCUGCAUGGGUGGUGGUGGAAAGCUUUUGCGGUGUGGGAUGGGCCCGCGGCCUAUCAGCUUGGUGGUGGGGUGAUGGCCUACCAAGGCGACGGCGGGUAGCCGGUCUGAGAGGGUGACCGGCCACACUGGGACUGAGAUACGGCCCAGACUCCUACGGGAGGCAGCAAUGGGGAAUAUUGCACAAUGGGCGCAAGCCUGAUGCAGCGACGCCGCGUGAGGGAUGACGGCCUUCGGGUUGUAAACCUCUUUCAGCACCGACGAAGCGCAAGUGACGGUAGGUGCAGAAGAAGGACCGGCCAACUACGUGCCAGCCGCCGCAGUAA
Molecule: ribosomal RNA, 478 nt
Filed under: uncultured bacterium
Lineage: Bacteria
Description: partial 16S ribosomal RNA
Rfam family: Bacterial small subunit ribosomal RNA
Source: RNAcentral